GACGAACGCUGGCGGCGUGCCUAAUACAUGCAAGUAGAACGCUGAAGAGAGGAGCUUGCUCUUCUUGGAUGAGUUGCGAACGGGUGAGUAACGCGUAGGUAACCUGCCUUGUAGCGGGGGUUAACUAUUGGAAACGAUAGCUAAUACCGCAUAACAAUGGAUGACACAUGUCAUUUAUUUGAAAGGGGCAAUUGCUCCACUACAAGAUGGACCUGCGUUGUAUUAGCUAGUAGGUGAGGUAAUGGCUCACCUAGGCGACGAUACAUAGCCGACCUGAGAGGGUGAUCGGCCACACUGGGACUGAGACACGGCCCAGACUCCUACGGGAGGCAGCAGUAGGGAAUCUUCGGCAAUGGGGGCAACCCUGACCGAGCAACGCCGCGUGAGUGAAGAAGGUUUUCGGAUCGUAAAGCUCUGUUGUAAGUCAAGAACGGGUGUGAGAGUGGAAAGUUCACACUGUGACGGUAGCUUACCAGAAAGGGACGGCUAACUACGUG
RNAcentral lists this ribosomal RNA (497 nucleotides) under uncultured bacterium. RNAcentral describes it as "partial 16S ribosomal RNA". It matches the Rfam family "Bacterial small subunit ribosomal RNA", at positions 28 to 507 of the family's 1533-position model. The record is from RNAcentral.